GUGCGGAACACGUGUGCAACUGCUUUAUCUGGGGGAUAGCCUUUCGAAAGGAAGAUUAAUACCCCAUAAUAUGUUGAAUGGCAUCAUUCGACAUGAAAACUCCGGUGGAUAGAGAUGGGCACGCGCAAGAUUAGAUAGUUGGUGAGGUAACGGCUCACCAAGUCUACGAUCUUUAGGGGGCCUGAGAGGGUGAUCCCCCACACUGGUACUGAGACACGGACCAGACUCCUACGGGAGGCAGCAGUGAGGAAUAUUGGACAAUGGGUGAGAGCCUGGUCCAGCCAUCCCGCGUGAAGGACGACUGCCCUAUGGGUUGUAAACUUCUUUUGUAUAGGGAUAAACCUACCCUCGUGAGGGUAGCUGAAGGUACUNAUACGAAUAAGCACCGGGUUAAACUCCGUGCCAGCAGCCGCGGGUAAAUUAACGGGAGGGGUUGGCCAAAGCGGUUUUAUUCCCGGGGAAUUUUAAUUUGGGGGGUUUUAAAAAGGGGGUCCCCGGUAAGGGCGGGAUUCCUGGUAAAGUCCAGGUGGGUGGAAAAUUCUUCAACAAGUUUUAAAUUGGUUGAAAAACUUUGGGCCAUUUGGAAUGGCUUGGAGGGUU
This 600-nucleotide ribosomal RNA is filed under the name uncultured bacterium. Its description in RNAcentral is "bacterial SSU rRNA". The stretch from base 1 to 438 matches the Rfam family "Bacterial small subunit ribosomal RNA", at positions 106 to 539 of the family's 1533-position model. The record is from RNAcentral.